This is a non-coding RNA of Pelobates cultripes (western spadefoot toad), 555 nucleotides long. NCBI's taxonomy places the organism in Eukaryota, Metazoa, Chordata, Amphibia, Anura, Pelobatidae. The record is from the annotation of a GenBank genome assembly.
UGGAAAUUAAAAGAUCUAUUACAGGUAAUUAAUUUUAAUAUUAUAUGACAUACAAAAAUACAGACAUAGCCUUAAAGGGAGCCAUGAUCACCCUUUCAUAAUACCAAAACAAUGGUUUAAUUUUACAGUCUUAAAUUGUGUUGAAUCACGAGUAUCUUCUCUGAAUGUCUUAUGCUGUUGUACAUAUUAUUAUUGCAAUUCCAGAUGCUUCACAUUCUGUCAUGAAGUUUUGCCAUCCAAUUUCCAAAAACGGAUUGUAAAAGUGUUCCACUUCACUUAGUUUCCUUCUUUUGAGUUCCAACGAGAUAAUGCCUUGAUUCUAAAUGGUUACCUACAUCCAAAAACUUUUCAAUACAUUGAUGCCUCUGUUUUCUUAUCUCUAAAAUCAAAAUCUGCCAAUCUAUUCUAUUGUUCAGUGAGGUUAUUCAAAGGACCAACAUCUUUCAUGAUUCCAGACAAUCUUGUCAUAGGGAAUAGGGCAAAUGUUUGACAAUUCACAGUAUCUGGAUCUAACCUAGUAAGCAGUGAUUUUCUUGAUUGAUAGAUAGAUCUCAG